AUUGAACGCCGGCGGCAGGCCUAACACAUGCAAGUCGAGCGGAUGAAGGGAGCUUGCUCCUGGAUUCAGCGGCGGACGGGUGAGUAAUGCCUAGGAAUCUGCCUGGUAGUGGGGGAUAACGUCCGGAAACGGGCGCUAAUACCGCAUACGUCCUGAGGGAGAAAGUGGGGGAUCUUCGGACCUCACGCUAUCAGAUGAGCCUAGGUCGGAUUAGCUAGUUGGUGGGGUAAAGGCCUACCAAGGCGACGAUCCGUAACUGGUCUGAGAGGAUGAUCAGUCACACUGGAACUGAGACACGGUCCAGACUCCUACGGGAGGCAGCAGUGGGGAAUAUUGGACAAAGGGCGAAAGCCUGAUCCAGCCAUGCCGCGUGUGUGAAGAAGGUCUUCGGAUUGUAAAGCACUUUAAGUUGGGAGGAAGGGCAGUAAGUUAAUACCUUGCUGUUUUGACGUUACCAACAGAAUAAGCACCGGCUAACUUCGUG
This 484-nucleotide ribosomal RNA is filed under the name uncultured bacterium. Its description in RNAcentral is "partial 16S ribosomal RNA". It matches the Rfam family "Bacterial small subunit ribosomal RNA", at positions 30 to 507 of the family's 1533-position model. The record is from RNAcentral.